AUUGAACGCUGGCGGCAGGCCUAACACAUGCAAGUCGAACGGUAACAGGAUGAGGCUUUCUUCUUUGCGGACGCGUGUCGGGGGGGUGAGAAAUAUCUGGGAGACUGCCUGAUGGAGGGGGAUAACUCCUGGAAACGGUAGCGAAUACCGCAUAACGUCGCAAGACCAAAGAGGGGGGCCUUCGGGCCCCUUGCCAUCUGAUGUGCCCAGAUGGGAUUAGCUAGUAGGUGGGGUAACGGCUCACCUAGGCGACGAUCCCUAGCUGGUCUGAGAGGAUGAUCAGCCACACUGGGACUGAGACACGGUCCAGACUCCUACGGGAGGCAGCAGUGGGGAAUAUUGGACAAUGGGCGCAAGCCUGAUGCAGCCAUGCCGCGUGUAUGAAGAAGGCCUUCGGGUUGUAAAGUACUUUUAUUGGGGAGGAAGGGAGUAAAGUUAAUACCUCGGCGCAUUGACGUUACCCGCAGAAGAAGCACCGGCUAACUCCGUG
Molecule: ribosomal RNA, 490 nt
Filed under: uncultured bacterium
Lineage: Bacteria
Description: partial 16S ribosomal RNA
Rfam family: Bacterial small subunit ribosomal RNA
Source: RNAcentral